RNAcentral lists this unclassified non-coding RNA (359 nucleotides) under air metagenome. Its description in RNAcentral is "partial contains small subunit ribosomal RNA, internal transcribed spacer 1, and 5.8S ribosomal RNA". The stretch from base 1 to 46 matches the Rfam family "Eukaryotic small subunit ribosomal RNA", at positions 1786 to 1831 of the family's 1831-position model. The record is from RNAcentral.
AAGUCGUAACAAGGUUUCCGUAGGUGAACCUGCGGAAGGAUCAUUAUUGAAUAACUCUGGGAUAGUGCUGCUGGCGUUCGGAAACGAGCGUAUUGUGCACCUAGCUCAUUUAUUCUUCAACCCUUCAUCACUGUGCACCUUUUUAAUGUUCGUCUCGAUGGUAGAACGUGAAUCUGUCGCCUUUAGUGGCGGAUGUGAAGCCUAGUGUGCUUGCGCGCACUUAGCUUCUACUCACUAGUAUACGGUUGGGUUCGUUCUCAUAUACAUUGUAAUUAUUAUUAUCAAGAAUGUCUACUUUAGCUGGCGCUACGUCGGCGAGUAAUCCUAUACAACUUUCAGCAACGGAUCUCUUGGCUCUC